Molecule: ribosomal RNA, 155 nt
Filed under: uncultured Bacteroidota bacterium
Lineage: Bacteria; Pseudomonadati; Bacteroidota
Description: uncultured Bacteroidetes bacterium partial 16S ribosomal RNA
Rfam family: Bacterial small subunit ribosomal RNA
Source: RNAcentral
ACUCCUACGGGAGGCAGCAGUGAGGAAUAUUGGUCAAUGGACGCAAGUCUGAACCAGCCACGUCGCGUGAAGGAAGACGGCCCUACGGGUUGUAAACUUCUUUUGUAAGGGAAUAAAGUGCAGUACGUGUACUGUUUUGCAUGUACCUUACGAAU